CGUAGAGUUGAUCCUGGCGUCAGGAUGAACGCUGCGCGUGCUUAACACAUGCAAGUCGAACGAGAACCAAUGGGAAUGAGGAUUCGUCCAAAGGAAGUUGGGGAAAGUGGCGGACGGGUGAGUAACGCGUGAGCAAUCUGCCUUGGAGUGGGGAAUAACGGUUGGAAACAGCCGCUAAUACCGCAUGAUACAGCUAUCCCGCAUGGGUUGGCUGUCAAAGAUUUAUCGCUCUGAGAUGAGCUCGCGUCUGAUUAGCUUGUUGCGGGGUAACGGCCCACCAAGGCGACGAUCAGUAGCCGGACUGAGAGGUUGGCCGGCCACAUUGGGACUGAGACACGGCCCAGACUCCUACGGGAGGCAGCAGUGGGGAAUAUUGGGCAAUGGGCGCAAGCCUGACCCAGCAACGCCGCGUGAAGGAAGAAGGCUUUCGGGUUGUGAACUUCUUUUCUCAGGGACGAAGAAAGUGACGGUACCUGAGGAAUAAGCCACGGCUAACUACGUG
This 502-nucleotide ribosomal RNA is filed under the name uncultured Oscillospiraceae bacterium. RNAcentral describes it as "bacterial SSU rRNA". It matches the Rfam family "Bacterial small subunit ribosomal RNA", at positions 1 to 507 of the family's 1533-position model. The record is from RNAcentral. Lineage: Bacteria; Bacillati; Bacillota; Clostridia; Eubacteriales; Oscillospiraceae.